RNAcentral lists this long non-coding RNA (453 nucleotides) under Zostera marina. RNAcentral describes it as "long non-coding RNA (ZMAR_LNC005802)". Lineage: Eukaryota; Viridiplantae; Streptophyta; Magnoliopsida; Alismatales; Zosteraceae. The record is from RNAcentral.
AAAAUCAGACAACAUUUUCGAUUGCAAAAGAUUAGAAGAAUAUGGGUAUGUUUAACUACUCCAUUUUCGUGGCAUUAAUGUUGAUCACAAUUGUCAUUUCAACCAAUGGUGGUGUUUUGGCUGGAAGUGACUGCGACAGAUUCCAAACAGGUGGCCGGAUUAUGUAAGAAGCAUGUUAUAAAAGUUUUUGGGAUUCUUCUAUAUCCAUCUCCAUCGCAGGCUUGUUGUAACUCCAUCAAAAAUGCUGGUCAAGAUUGCUUGUGCUCGAAAAAAUUUCCGUUAUUCGUCAGCAAAAAGACUGCUCAAUCCGUUGCUAAAAAAUGUGGCAUAUCCAAAAUUCCCGCUAAUUGUGGAGGUGAGUAUUUAUAUAUAAUUAAUGCAGCUUAUUUCACAUAUAUAAAAAGUCCUUGCUUACUGGAUUUUUAUAUUAAAAACUCAUCCGUUGAUUGUUUG